Molecule: long non-coding RNA, 616 nt
Filed under: Malus domestica (apple)
Lineage: Eukaryota; Viridiplantae; Streptophyta; Magnoliopsida; Rosales; Rosaceae
Description: long non-coding RNA (MDOM_LNC005333)
Source: RNAcentral
UUCACUCUCCUCCACCACCAGUCCAAUCACCCCCACCACCAAUCCAUUCUCAUCCACCACCAGUGUACUCACCCCCACCACCUGUCCAUUCUCCUCCACCCCCAGUGCACUCACCCCCACCACCCGUCCAUUCACUUGCACCACCAGUAACACUCACCCCCACCACCUGUCCAUUCUCCUCCACCUUCAGAGUACUCACCCCCACCACCUGUCCAUUCUCCUCCACCCCCAGUGCACUCACCCCCACCACCCGUCCAUUCACCUGCACCACCAGUACACUCACCCCCAGCACCUGUCUACUUUCCUCCACCACCAGUCCACUCUCCUCCUCCACCGGUACACUCACCCCCACCACCAGUCCAUUCGCCUCCACCACCAGUGCACUCACCCCCACCACCUGUCCACUCUCCUCCACCACCCGUUCACUCUCCUCCACCACCAGUCCAUUCUCCUCCUCCACCUGUGCACUCACCCCCACCACCGGUCUACUCACCCCCACCACCUGUACACUCACCCCCACCACCAGUGCACUCGCCACCGCCACCAGCACCAGUCCACUCACCGCCACCUCCAAUCCAAUCAUCACCACCACCGGUACCGAUCCACUCAUCGCCAC